CCUACGGGAGGCAGCAGUAGGGAAUAUUGCUCAAUGGGGGAAACUCUGAAGCAGCAACGCCGCGUGGAGGAUGAAGGUUUUCGGAUUGUAAACCUCUUUUGUUAGAGAAGAUAAUGACGGUAUCUAACGAAUAAGCACCGGCUAACUCUGUUCCAGCAGCCGCGGUAAUACGGAGGGUGCAAGCGUCACUCGGAAUCACUGGGCGUAAAGAGGGCGUAGGUGGGUUAGCAAGUCAGAUGUGAAAUGCUAUGGGUUAACCAUAAAAAUGCAUUUGAAACUGUUAUACUAGAGUGUGGGAGAGGUAGGUGGAAUUCUUGGUGUAGGGGUAAAAUGCGUAGAGAUCAAGAGGAAUACUCAUUGCGAAAGCGGCCUGCUAGAUCAUAACUGACGCUGAUGCGCGAAAGCGUGGGGAGCAAACAGGAUUAGAUACCCUAGUAGUC
This 440-nucleotide ribosomal RNA is filed under the name uncultured bacterium. Its description in RNAcentral is "partial 16S ribosomal RNA". It matches the Rfam family "Bacterial small subunit ribosomal RNA", at positions 338 to 795 of the family's 1533-position model. The record is from RNAcentral.